ACGGCCGUACCAUGCUGAAUAUACCGGUUCUCGUUAGAUCACUGAAGUCAAGCAUCAUUGGGCGCGCUCAGUACUUGGGUGAGUGACCACCACCUGGGAACACCGCGUGCCGUU
This 114-nucleotide ribosomal RNA is filed under the name Caerostris darwini. The record is from RNAcentral. Lineage: Eukaryota; Metazoa; Arthropoda; Arachnida; Araneae; Araneidae.